Molecule: ribosomal RNA, 301 nt
Filed under: uncultured bacterium
Lineage: Bacteria
Description: partial 16S ribosomal RNA
Rfam family: Bacterial small subunit ribosomal RNA
Source: RNAcentral
CAGUCGCCGCGGUAAUACAGAGGGUGCGAGCGUUAAUCGGAUUUACUGGGCGUAAAGCGUGCGCAGGCGGUUAUAUAAGACAGAUGUGAAAUCCCCGGGCUCAACCUGGGAACUGCAUUUGUGACUGUAUAGCUAGAGUACGGCAGAGGGGGAUGGAAUUCCGCGUGUAGCAGUGAAAUGCGUAGAUAUGCGGAGGAACACCGAUGGCGAAGGCAAUCCCCUGGGCCUGUACUGACGCUCAUGCACGAAAGCGUGGGGAGCAAACAGGAUUAGAGACCCCUGUAGUCCCUGUCUCUUAUAC